Molecule: ribosomal RNA, 253 nt
Filed under: uncultured bacterium
Lineage: Bacteria
Description: partial 16S ribosomal RNA
Rfam family: Bacterial small subunit ribosomal RNA
Source: RNAcentral
UACGGAGGGUGCAAGCGUUAUCCGGAUUUACUGGGUUUAAAGGGUGCGUAGGCGGGCCUUUAAGUCAGUGGUGAAAGCUCCGAGCUUAACUCGGAAACUGCCAUUGAUACUGAAGAUCUUGAGUUCGGGAGAGGUGAGUGGAACUGCGAGUGUAGAGGUGAAAUUCGUAGAUAUUCGCAAGAACACCAGUGGCGAAGGCGGCUUACUGGUCCGGUUCUGACGCUGAGGCGCGAAAGCGUGGGGAGCAAACAGG